Molecule: long non-coding RNA, 276 nt
Organism: Pectinophora gossypiella (pink bollworm)
Lineage: Eukaryota; Metazoa; Arthropoda; Insecta; Lepidoptera; Gelechiidae
Exons: 3
Source: RefSeq, a predicted model, not a curated record
CCUACCUACCUACCUACCUGACGACCUACUUGACAUUCCACUAAUACUGCAACCCAAUCCAGUACAACCCAGUGGAAGAAUGACCUGAAAUGCAAAAAUAUUUCAAGAAACUAUGGGAUAUCUUCUCGUCGUAGUCAACAUGAGACACAUUCUCUUGAAGGUUCUACCGAAAAGCAAAGAGGGGGUGAUCGGAAAGGAGCAAAAUGUUCAAGAAAACACUUAAUGACUAACUGUAAUAACUGAAAAUGAAGGUUUUUCUAAUAAAGGCAAGUGCCA